AACACUUCCAAGGCAUAUGAGCAAUUAAUUCAUAAAAGGACAGUUGGCCAGGGGAGGAGCCAAGAUGGCCGAAUAGGAACAGCUCCGGUCUACAGCUCCCAGCGCCAGCGACGCAGAAGACGGGUGAUUUCUGCAUUUCCAUCUGAGACCUGAGUAUUUGCAGAUUUUGGUACCUGCAAGAGGUCCUGGAACCAAUACCCCAUGGAUACUGAGGGGACAACUGUAAAUAGUAAAGAAACCAAGGCUUAGAGACCUGCUCACAGUCGUUUUGUGAGGGAAUGCAACAUCUGGGUCUAGGGUCCAAAUCUAUCUCUGCUGUGAAGAGGAACUCAUACAGGAGAUCUACAUGAUUAUGAAUUCUUGGCCUUGCAGUGGAGGGAUUUGUCCUCACAGUGCUGUGGAAACUGGUGAAGAGGUCUGAGUUUGGAUGUAAAGCUGUAGUUUCCGGCCUGGUGCUGGCAACUGAAGUCCAUAGACAGCUGGGCAAAGAAGAUGGAUGGGAAGCAGAGGAAGCAAAGACAAGCUGAAUGAAGGAGAAACUGGUGCCUUCCAUCGUGGAGCU
Molecule: long non-coding RNA, 562 nt
Organism: Pongo pygmaeus (Bornean orangutan)
Lineage: Eukaryota; Metazoa; Chordata; Mammalia; Primates; Hominidae
Exons: 4
Source: RefSeq, a predicted model, not a curated record